GACGUAGGGCGCGAGCGUUGUCCGGAUUUAUUGGGCGUAAAGAGCUCGUAGGCGGCUUGUCGCGUCGACUGUGAAAUCCCGCGGCUCAACUGCGGGUCUGCAGCCGAUACGGGCAGGCUAGAGUUCGGUAGGGGAGACUGGAAUUCCUGGUGUAGCGGUGAAAUGCGCAGAUAUCAGGAGGAACACCGAUGGCGAAGGCAGGUCGCUGGGCCGAUACUGACGCUGAGGAGCGAAAGCGUGGGGAGCGAACAGG
RNAcentral lists this ribosomal RNA (253 nucleotides) under uncultured bacterium. Its description in RNAcentral is "partial 16S ribosomal RNA". It matches the Rfam family "Bacterial small subunit ribosomal RNA", at positions 524 to 776 of the family's 1533-position model. The record is from RNAcentral.